GCGCACCAGUCGAGAAUCCUUCGCAAUGCGGGAAACCGCGGCGAGGGGACUCCCAGUGCCUACGCUCAGCGUAGGCUGUUCCCGAGCCUAGAAAGCUCGGGGAGUAAGGGCUGGGUAAGACGGGUGCCAGCCGCCGCGGUAAUACCCGCAGCCCGAGUGGUGGCCACUAUUAUUGGGCCUAAAGCGUCCGUAGCCGGCCCGGUAAAUGCCUGGGUAAAUCGUGAGGCCUAACCUCACGAAUUCCGGGUAGACUGCCGGGGCUAGGGACCGGAGGAGGGAGAGGGUACUCCAGGGGUAGGGGUGAAAUCCUGUAAUCCCUGGAGGACCACCGGUGGCGAAGGCGCUCUCCUAGGACGGGUCCGACGGUGA
RNAcentral lists this ribosomal RNA (369 nucleotides) under uncultured microorganism. Its description in RNAcentral is "bacterial SSU rRNA". It matches the Rfam family "Archaeal small subunit ribosomal RNA", at positions 330 to 700 of the family's 1478-position model. The record is from RNAcentral.